CCAUAGAGUAGUAUGCUUUUUCGAUGUAACCGAACCACUGUGACCAGCCGAAAAUAAUCAAUGUCAGGAAGACACUCGCAUCUCUACAAUGGUGGAAGAUUGCUAGACUUAAUAUUUGGUUGAAAAAAAUUUAGGUUCAGAUCUCUUCCUUAAUUAGUCAUAACGGUUAUGACUAACCUAGUGGUAUGGGCUAGCUCGAGUCCACAAGUAACCUAGUACAAAACAUAAUCUCCCAAAA
RNAcentral lists this long non-coding RNA (238 nucleotides) under Elaeis guineensis (African oil palm). RNAcentral describes it as "long non-coding RNA (EGUI_LNC050758)". Lineage: Eukaryota; Viridiplantae; Streptophyta; Magnoliopsida; Arecales; Arecaceae. The record is from RNAcentral.